Molecule: ribosomal RNA, 741 nt
Filed under: Bacillus sp. (in: firmicutes)
Lineage: Bacteria; Bacillati; Bacillota; Bacilli; Caryophanales; Bacillaceae
Description: bacterial SSU rRNA
Rfam family: Bacterial small subunit ribosomal RNA
Source: RNAcentral
ACAUGCAGUCGAGCGAUGGAUUAAGAGCUUGCUCUUAUGAAGUUAGCGGCGGACGGGUGAGUAACACGUGGGUAACCUACCCAUAAGACUGGGAUAACUCCGGGAAACCGGGGCUAAUACCGGAUAAUAUUUUGAACUGCAUAGUUCGAAAUUGAAAGGCGGCUUCGGCUGUCACUUAUGGAUGGACCCGCGUCGCAUUAGCUAGUUGGUGAGGUAACGGCUCACCAAGGCGACGAUGCGUAGCCGACCUGAGAGGGUGAUCGGCCACACUGGGACUGAGACACGGCCCAGACUCCUACGGGAGGCAGCAGUAGGGAAUCUUCCGCAAUGGACGAAAGUCUGACGGAGCAACGCCGCGUGAGUGAUGAAGGCUUUCGGGUCGUAAAACUCUGUUGUUAGGGAAGAACAAGUGCUAGUUGAAUAAGCUGGCACCUUGACGGUACCUAACCAGAAAGCCACGGCUAACUACGUGCCAGCAGCCGCGGUAAUACGUAGGUGGCAAGCGUUAUCCGGAAUUAUUGGGCGUAAAGCGCGCGCAGGUGGUUUCUUAAGUCUGAUGUGAAAGCCCACGGCUCAACCGUGGAGGGUCAUUGGAAACUGGGAGACUUGAGUGCAGAAGAGGAAAGUGGAAUUCCAUGUGUAGCGGUGAAAUGCGUAGAGAUAUGGAGGAACACCAGUGGCGAAGCGACUUUCUGGUCUGUAACUGACACUGAGCGCGAAAGCGUGGGGAGCAAACAGGAU